This 489-nucleotide ribosomal RNA is filed under the name uncultured bacterium. RNAcentral's name for it is "bacterial SSU rRNA". It matches the Rfam family "Bacterial small subunit ribosomal RNA", at positions 28 to 514 of the family's 1533-position model. The record is from RNAcentral.
GACGAACGCUGGCGGCAUGCCUAACACAUGCAAGUCGAACGGAGAUAGACGCUGAUGAAGCUUCGGCGGAAUCUUGUCUAUCUUAGUGGCGGACGGGCGAGUAACGCGUGAGCAACCUGCCCUUCAGUGGGGGACAACAGUUGGAAACGACUGCUAAUACCGCAUAAUGUCACGAGGCCGCAUGACCUUGUGACCAAAGGAUUUAUUCGCUGAAGGAUGGGCUCGCGUCCGAUUAGGUAGUUGGUGAGGUAACGGCUCACCAAGCCGACGAUCGGUAGCCGAACUGAGAGGUUGAUCGGCCGCAUUGGGACUGAGACACGGCCCAGACUCCUACGGGAGGCAGCAGUGGGGAUAUUGCACAAUGGGGGAAACCCUGAUGCAGCAACGCCGCGUGAAGGAAGAAGGUCUUCGGAUUGUAAACUUCUGUUUUUAGUGAAGAAACAAAUGACGGUAGCUAAAGAGAAGCCACGGCUAACUACGUGCCAGCAG